AUCAUAACUGUCACUGACGUUUUUUUUUUUUUUUUUUUUUUUUUUUUUCCCCUUUCUUUCUUUAAUCAAAAUUGUUUUUAACUUUGGCAGGGAUGUCAGUUGUUGGAAAAUUCGAAUUUAUUUUGCUUGCUUUUUUAUUCUGAAACUUUAAAAUCCUGCAAAAUUUCAAAUGUAAAUUGAGAUCAGCAUCGGAGCUAAGAAAGUGAAGCGUGUGUUUAAAAUAUUUUUGAAUAAUGAGCAUUCUUUUCCAUUUAAAAAAGUAUCAGUGAAUUGCAUAAACUGAGCAGUCUACAGUUUCCAUAUUGUACAGCUGUCAAAAUACAUUUACUAUGCACAUACCUGGGUUGUCAUGUAAAUACUUUUUGCUGAUGUCGUAGAUUGACAGGUAACUAUUUUGGCAGCAUAUCUCUUUCCCCCAUGAAAAUUUCGGACUGCAAAUGCUCAGAAAGUACCAUAAUACUAUAUAAAAUAUUAAAAAUAAUGUAUAACUUGGAUUUUUGAUAAUUCAGUUAAUAAAAUAGUUGUCACUUUCUGAUUAUCUGCAUUCCUCAGUUUCAGCUUUCAGUGGAACUGCGUAUUUUUGGAGUUAUUUUCAAGUAUAUAUGUGAUAACAAAUAACCACACAUAAUAAGCAGUGAUAAAGAAUUAGCUGCUAAAAAUGUUGCAGGUAAAAAAAGGUAAAAUAAAUAAAUAAAUAAAUAAAAAAUAAAAAGGAAAUUGAUACAAUAUUUGACAAUCUAGAAUUUUAAAAUGCUAUUUUUCAAGUUCCCAGAUUAUCAAUUCUCAGAAUGAAAGUAACAUAAAAUAAUAAGCUAACAGAUACACGCAGAACUUUAGUACAUGCAUUUAUUCAUAUAUGUGUUUAUCUGCUUAUAUUGUGUUUAUAAAUUAUUGGUAAAAAAAAGUUUAUUUUCAGUUAGUUGUAGUUUGAGUUAAAUGUAAGAUGUAUUUUUUUUUUUUUUUUCUUUUGUGAGUGCAAACUUAUUGAAUCAGGUAACAGUGUAGAAGUUUAAAAGUAUGAAAAAUGCAGCCAGACAUCAACAAAGCUUUGAAAAUCAUCUUAGUGCUAGAAGAUAUUUCAUAUUGCAGUUUCUAUACAAACACUACAUAUUUCCAGUAAUAAUAGAUACGCUGAUUGUGGAUUAAAUAUGUAGUACUGAUAAGGUAGAGUGAAGAAAUGAUCAAAGUGAUGUAUUUUACACUAGUAAAUGUAUAUUAAAUUAAAUAAAAGUAUCAGACUGAGAUCUGUGAAACUUGCAUGUUGCAUACAGAUGCAGAUCUGUGGCUAAAUAGUAAAAGUGCCUAAAUGCUGGUAAUUUGACAUGGAUACACAUCCUUGUGAAUGGACUGGCUGCAUAUAAGUUUUUGGGGUUUUCCUAAUGUGUAAUGUGAAUACUACCCAGUUUCCAUUAAAAACUCCUCCAUGAAGGCAACAUUUCUUUUAGAUAGAUAGCCUUCCUAAAAAUCCAAUUGCCUACUACGGUAAAUUUGCUGAAUACUGGUAAGUUUGACCUUAGUUUAAAUCCCACAGAAGGAACUAGCUAAAUGGGAGUUUCUUUGUUUUACUUAUGUGUAACAUGAAUAGAGCCAAUUUCCUGUUACAAGCUCUCUGUGAAGACUUUCUUCCCUUUAGGCAGGUGGCCUUAGUGUGCUUUACCAUAAUCCGCAAAAACAGCUUGCCUUUUUAUAACAGAAUCAGUCCUUGUUGUUAUUUUUUUUUCGAUUGAGUACAGAGUUCAAAGUUGGCAGACCUUCUUUCAUUUAUAUACCGUAUAUGUCUAAAUGUAAGCCAAUCUGUGUAUAAGCUAAGAUUGCUUUUUUUUUAAAUUUAUCCAAACCUGUUUAUAAAUUGAAAUGAAGAAAAAAAAUGUAUCAUUCAAACAUGUCACCAUAAGAGCAAAAAUCUUGUCAAGCAGGUAAAACAGGUACUUAUGUAUUAUCACAACUACCUUGGUGAAGUUUGGCAAAUUUUAUGGAAGAAGAAAAACAGUUACUUGAUUGUUUAAAAAAAAAAAAAAAAAAAAAAAAAAA
Stegodyphus dumicola is the source of this 2031-nucleotide long non-coding RNA. The record is from RefSeq and is a predicted model, not a curated record. NCBI's taxonomy places the organism in Eukaryota, Metazoa, Arthropoda, Arachnida, Araneae, Eresidae.